Molecule: RNA transcript, 3941 nt
Organism: Macadamia integrifolia
Lineage: Eukaryota; Viridiplantae; Streptophyta; Magnoliopsida; Proteales; Proteaceae
Gene name: glutamate receptor 3.4-like
Exons: 7
Source: RefSeq, a predicted model, not a curated record
UCUUGUAGAUUGGACUUGCUAACGACUGUGCUUCUCAAUUUUUUUUUUCACCUCUUAUUAGCCAUGGAAGUGACGAUCCAAUCACCACUACCAUUGAGUUGAUAACUAGACAACCCCAUGGCCCCAUUCCCACAAUCUCUGAUUUUUGAAGUUUGUGAACUUUGAAAGCUUUUGAUAACUGUAAAUCUCCAUAAAGCCAUUAAAAUCUCUCUUUCUCAGCAGCCCUUGUCGCGUUUCUUUAUAACUGUUCUUUAUUGGAUACUAUUUAGUAAUAGUUGUUGCAGACUGUUGUUGUAGUUACGCUUGUUUGGAACUUCAAAAGCAGAAAUGAUUCUUUUCUCCUUCUACAAGACUCUCUGAAGAUUUCCCUGUUCCUGAUUUCCGUCUUCCUUUUCUGGGCUUUUGUGUUCAUUUUGUACCUGUCAAGAACCACUUGGGCUUGCUUUAGCAUUUUUAAUCUCCAACUGUUCGAGGCCUACCCAGAGUUAAUGCUGCGGGUAAGUCUUCUUUAGUUAGUUAGUUCUUAGAACCAACCCUAUUUCAUCUUUAGCUACUACUUCUCUGGGUUCCUUUUACUUUUCCCAAAAAUUGAACCUAUCCAUGUGGGUUCUUCUUCUUUCUUUCACUCCAAUACAGUUGCUGCAUGUGGACUUUCCAAUUUGUAUUUUGUAUUUUGAAAUAAUUUAAUGCAAAUAAUAGUACAAGGGUAUCAGGAAUCAAGAGAAUUUUUUGAGUCAAAACCUUUUAUUUAAUCAUUGAUGUGCACUUGGUCAUACAGUUCUGGAUGCUUUCUUAUACUUCUAAACAGAAAUCAAGUACCCAGUUUAGUAUGUUCUUCCAACUUCCCAAGUCUUCUAACCCAGUUUCCCCCAGUUGGGUAUUGUUGUUCCUAUUCUAACUGGUACCUGCAAUUUAUUUUGCUUGGUUCUUCCUCUUUCUUCCUUUUUUUUGGCUUCUUAUGUGGGUACUGAAAGUUUUCUAAGGUUAUUGUUAUUCCUAUUCUAAUUGUAUCUGCAAAUUUUUUCCUUGGUUUCUGGAUUCUACCCAAGAUGCAGUAGAUCUGUUACAGUAGAAGCAAUGCUGGUUUAAUCAAAGGCAUCAACUGCAGAUAAAAAUAAAGUUCCCUUCGUGGACCUCCAUCAGAUUAGUAUCUCUGGUUAUCUCUUCAUCAUGAGAUUGUUUCAGUUGUUGCUUUUUUGUUUGUUGAUGACCAUUGAAGUUCAGGGGGGAAUUCGAAAUUUAGGAUCUUCUUCAAGGCCACGCGUUGUGAAUGUGGGAGCUCUAUUCACUUUCAAUUCGACCAUUGGAAAGGUGGCAAAGCCAGCAAUUGAAGCUGCUGUUGAUGAUGUUAAUUCAGAUUUAAGCAUUCUUGUGGGGACAACACUGAAUGUUAUCAUGCAGGACACAAAUUGCAGUGGAUUUAUUGGAACCAUAGGAGCUUUUCAGAUGAUGGAGAAAGAUGUGGUUGCAGUAAUUGGUCCCCAAUCUUCAGGAAUAGCUCAUAUCAUCUCUCAUGUUGUUAAUGAACUCCAUGUACCACUUCUUUCAUUUGCAGCCACAGAUCCCACUCUUGCUGCACUACAAUACUCAUACUUCCUCCGUACUACACAAAGUGACUAUUUCCAGAUGUAUGCAAUAGCAGAUAUGGUUGAAUAUUAUGGAUGGAGAGAGGUAAUUGCCAUCUUUGUGGAUGAUGAUUAUGGGAGAGGUGGGAUAUCUGUGCUGGAUGAUGCCCUUGCGAAAAAGCGUUCAAAGAUAUCCUACAAAGCUCCCUUUACUCCAGGGGCCAACAAAAGUGCAAUCGAUGAUCUGUUAGUUGGGGUAAAUCUGAUGGAGUCUCGGGUUUAUGUUGUACAUGUUAAUCCAGAUUCUGGUCUAACAAUUUUCUCUGUUGCAAAGUCUCUUGGAAUGAUGACUACCGGCUAUGUGUGGAUUGCAACAGAUUGGCUUCCUUCUGUUUUGGAUUCAUCAGAACCAGUUGACCCUGGCACAAUGGAUCUCUUGCAAGGGGUUAUUGCCCUCCGUCAUCAUACACCAGAUUCUGAUCUCAAAAAGAAUUUUACAUCUCGGUGGAGUAAUUUACAGCGCAAAGGGAUUGCCACCUCUAGCUUGAAUUCUUAUGGACUCUAUGCUUAUGAUUCUGUUUGGUUAGUUGCUCAUGCUCUUGAUGAGUUCCUUAAUAAGGGAGGGAAUAUUUCUUUCUCAAGUGAUCCGAACUUGCAUGAUACAAAUGGAAGCUCAAUACAUUUAACGUCACUCCAUUUAUUUGAAGGAGGUCAGCAGUUCCUUCAGAAGCUCACUAUGAUGAACUUUACAGGUUUGACUGGCCAGUUUCAAUUUGAUCCAGAGAAGAAUUUGAUCCAUCCAGCGUAUGAUAUUAUUAACAUUGGUGGGACUGGGUUUCGCCGGGUUGGAUAUUGGUCAAAUUAUUCGCAUCUCUCAGUUGUUGCUCCAGAGAUCUUAUAUAACAAGCCCUCAAACAUUUCUACCAGAAGCCAACAGCUUUACAGCGUAAUAUGGCCUGGAGAAACUACGCGAACACCACGUGGGUGGGUGUUUCCGAACAAUGGGCAACCAUUGAGGAUUGGGGUUCCUAAUCGAGUAACUUACAAGCAAUUUGUAGCAAAGGAUAAUGGUCCCAAUGGGGCGAGGGGUUUCUGCAUUGACGUCUUUGAAGCCGCUGUGGGCUUGUUGCAGUAUCCUGUUCCACACACGUACAUAUUAUAUGGGAAUGGUACUAGGAACCCUAGUUAUGAUGAGCUUGUGACUAUGGUCUCCGAAAAUAAAUUUGAUGCAGCUGUUGGAGAUAUAACCAUUGUUACAAAUAGGACAAGACUUGUGGAUUUCACCCAGCCUUACAUUGAAUCUGGCCUUACUGUUGUUGUUCCUGUAAAAGAGAUGAAAUCCAGUGCUUGGGCUUUCUUAAAGCCAUUUACAGUUCAAAUGUGGUUAGUCACUGGUGCUUUCUUUUUGUUCGUGGGAGCUGUUGUUUGGAUUCUUGAACAUCGGAUUAAUGCUGAAUUCCGUGGUCCACCAAGGCAACAGCUUGUAACAGUAUUUUGGUUUAGCUUCUCUACAAUGUUUUUUUCCCACAGGGAGAACACUGUCAGUUCCCUUGGACGUUUUGUUGUGCUCAUAUGGCUCUUUGUAGUACUUAUUAUCAACUCAAGCUACACAGCUAGCUUGACAUCCAUCCUCACAGUUCAGCAGUUGUCAUCACGGAUCGAAGGGAUCGACAGCUUGAUUUCAAGCAACGACCCUAUAGGUAUUCAGGAUGGGUCAUUUGCUAGGAACUAUUUGAUUGAAGAGCUUAACAUUGCAGAAUCCAGGAUCGUGACCCUAAAAAAUGAGGAUGAGUAUUUAGAUGCUCUUCAGCGUGGACCCAAGAAUGGCGGGGUUGCUGCUAUUGUUGAUGAACUUCCUUACAUUGAGGUUUUCCUGUCUGACAACAACUGCAAAUUCCAGACUGUGGGGCAAGAGUUCACAAAAAGUGGAUGGGGUUUUCUCCAUUAUUGAUACCCAUGUGGUGUUGAUUGAUAAUUAAACUCACAAAUGCAAGUAUUUUGGGUGUAAGUUAAAUUUCCAAUUCAAUUCUUCCAUUUUAGAUCCUUCUACAGAAGUUUUUUUAUUUUUUAGGCUGAUUGAAUUCCAUACUGAUUUUGUAUGGGAAAAUGGAAGGCACUACAAGAAAGAUAUACUCCUUUUCAAAUCGCCCCGCGAAGACGGGCGUUCAGAAAGGUUCUCGAGAUUCUCAAUUGUCCAGGUGUGCGGGAAGGGAGCGAGACCAAGCCGAGCCAGACGGAGAGCAUUCCAAAGGGACUCUCCUCUUGCAGUGGACUUAUCAACAGCAAUCCUUAGACUCUCAGAGAAUGGUGAUCUCCAAAGGAUGCAUGAUAAAUGGUUGUCACUUAAUGCCUGUUCAGGACAAACCAACUCAGCAG